GCUGAGAUGACGGAACGGCAACGCGAUGGACUGCAGAUCCAUUUUAUCCCGGUUCGAAUCCGGGUUUCAGCU
This 72-nucleotide transfer RNA is filed under the name Methanomethylovorans hollandica DSM 15978. Its description in RNAcentral is "tRNA-Cys (GCA) (tRNA-Cys-GCA-3-1)". It matches the Rfam family "tRNA". From Rfam's summary of the family: Transfer RNA (tRNA) molecules are approximately 80 nucleotides in length. Their secondary structure includes four short double-helical elements and three loops (D, anti-codon, and T loops). The record is from Rfam by way of RNAcentral. Lineage: Archaea; Methanobacteriati; Methanobacteriota; Methanomicrobia; Methanosarcinales; Methanosarcinaceae.